UUUUAUGAUGAAUUUAUGUUUUCAAUCUUAUCUACAUUAUCUGAAUUAAUAGCUAACAAUAGUUAUAAUGGAAGAUAUACGACUAUCAACAAUUCUGAAA
Molecule: small nucleolar RNA, 100 nt
Organism: Saccharomyces cerevisiae S288C
Lineage: Eukaryota; Fungi; Ascomycota; Saccharomycetes; Saccharomycetales; Saccharomycetaceae
Source: Ensembl